RNAcentral lists this ribosomal RNA (301 nucleotides) under uncultured bacterium. RNAcentral's name for it is "partial 16S ribosomal RNA". It matches the Rfam family "Bacterial small subunit ribosomal RNA", at positions 509 to 807 of the family's 1533-position model. The record is from RNAcentral.
CAGUCGCCACGGGAAUACGCAGGUGGCAAGCGUUGCCCGGAUUUAUUGGGCGUAAAGCGAGCGCAGGCGGUCAAUUAAGUCUGAUGUGAAAGCCCCCGGCUCAACCGGGGAGGGUCAUUGGAAACUGGUUGACUUGAGUGCAGAAGAGGAGAGUGGAAUUCCAUGUGUAGCGGUGAAAUGCGUAGAUAUAUGGAGGAACACCAGUGGCGAAGGCGACUCUCUGGUCUGUAACUGACGCUGAGGCUCGAAAGCGUGGGUAGCAAACAGGAUUAGAUACCCGAGUAGUCCCUGUCUCUUAUAC